CUAAAAGUGGUUUAGGUUAUUUGAUUCUCUUUUUUUUAUAUUUUGCGUUUUGUUUGAAAUUUUUUAAAAUGGAUUUGGAUUGGUUAAUUACCUUCGUGUUGGGUUGCGUUCUUGGCUUUGUCGUUGGAUUACAUUCUUAGGUGUAAUCGAAAGAAGUCAAAUAAUUUUGAGGAAGACAACGUUACGGCACGCUACAUUUGUUGUGCAUUUUCUUAUCCAAAAAGUGAUGAAACUGUAUUUUAACAUACACUAGCCGAAUAGUCCAAGAAGUACAGUCAUGAGUCACGUUAUAUCAUUUGCACUCGGCAUGAUAACAGGUUUGAUGUUGUGUAAGCAGCGACGUUGCGGUCCUGAUAACUGAUGGCAACCCAAUCAAAAUUAUACAUGAAAAUCUUAAUUAAAAUUAAUAUGCGAAAUUUUCGUGCGGAGCACAUGUACAAAUUACAAUAAAAUUGAAUUAGGGAUAUGUAAGAAACUUAAA
Drosophila novamexicana is the source of this 481-nucleotide long non-coding RNA. RefSeq lists it as uncharacterized. Lineage: Eukaryota; Metazoa; Arthropoda; Insecta; Diptera; Drosophilidae. The transcript is spliced from 3 exons. The record is from RefSeq and is a predicted model, not a curated record.